AACGAACGCUGGCGGCAUGCCUAACACAUGCAAGUCGAACGAGACCUUCGGGUCUAGUGGCGCACGGGUGCGUAACGCGUGGGAACCUGCCCAUAGGUUGGGAAUAACUCCCCGAAAGGGGUGCUAAUACCGGAUAAUGUCUUCGGACCAAAGAUCUAUCUCCUUUGGAUGGGGCCGCGCUGGAUUAGCUUGUUGGUAGGGUAAAAGCCUAUCAAGGCGACGAUCCAUAGCUGGUCUGAGAGGAUGAUCAGCCACACUGGGACUGAGACACGGCCCAGACUCCUGCGGGAGGCAGCAGUGGGGAAUAUUGGACAAUGGGCGAAAGCCUGAUCCAGCAAUGCCGCGUGAGUGAUGAAGGCCUUAGGGUUGUAAAGCUCGUUUACCCGGGAUGAUAAUGACAGUACCGGGAGAAUAAGCUCCGGCUAACUCCGUG
This 433-nucleotide ribosomal RNA is filed under the name uncultured bacterium. Its description in RNAcentral is "partial 16S ribosomal RNA". It matches the Rfam family "Bacterial small subunit ribosomal RNA", at positions 29 to 507 of the family's 1533-position model. The record is from RNAcentral.